UAGCCUAUAAGGCUAUAAAUUAAAUAAAAGAAAACUAUAUUUAAAAUUAAUAAAUAAAAAUUAAUCCUGUAAGGGGAAUUUAAAAGAUAAAAAUUAAUAAUAAUAAAAUUAUGUACCUUUUGUAUAAUGGUUUAAUAAAAUUUAAUAAUAAAUUUAAAUCUCGAAAAAUAAUGAGCUUAAAAUAAUUUGUUAAGAACAUAAAAUAUUAAAUUUCAGCUUAAUUUUAAAAAUUAUUUUAAGAGGCCACAUACUAAACGCAUUAUUUUAUAUUUAGUUAUUUAAAUUAUGUGUAUAGCACAAAUUCUAAUAAGAAAGAAUACUAUUAAAGGAUUAGCUUUAAUAAGAAUUUAUUAAAUAUAAAAAAACUAAUUAUAAGUUUAAAAAUAGCUAUUAAAUUAAAUAAUGUAACAAUUUAAAUUUAAAAUAGUAUAAAACUAAUAUAAUAAAUAACUUUAUUAGCCUAUAGCGUAUAAUUAAAACAAUGUUAAAAUUAGUAUUAAAUUUAAAAUAAAUAAAUAAACAUAAAUAUAUUAUAAUAAUUAAAUAAAACAAUAAAUAAAGGAAUUCGGCAAAUAUAAUUCUUAACUGUUUAUCAAAAACAUUGCUUUUUGGUAAAAAAUAAAAAGUAAACCCUGCCCAAUGUAAAAAAAAAUAAAUGGCUGCGAAUAAAUUCGUACUAAGGUAGCAUAAUAAUUAGCCUUCUAAUUAAAGGAUAGAAUGAAUGGGUAAAUAAAGAAUAAUCUGUCUCUAUUUAUAAAAUAAAAAUUAAUCUAAAAGUGAAAAAGCUUUUAUAUAAUAAUAAGACAAAAAGACCCUGUUGAGCUUAAAUUAUAAUUUAAUAGUAUAAUUUUUAUUGGGGCAAUAAGGGUUAAUUAAAUCAAUCCUACUAGUAAGACUAAAAUCAAUAUAAGAUCCAAUUUAAUUGAAAAUUGAAUAAGUUACCACAGGGAUAACAGGUUUAUUUUUCUAAAGAGCCCAAAUCGAUAGAAAAGAUUGAUACCUCGAUGUUGGCUUAAAAUUUCUCUUUAAAGCAAAAUUUAAAGUAGUUGGUUUGUUCAACCAUUAAAAUUUUACGUGAUCUGAGUUCAGACCGGACA
RNAcentral lists this ribosomal RNA (1097 nucleotides) under Endomyzostoma sp. MZ-2009. Its description in RNAcentral is "large subunit ribosomal RNA". The stretch from base 540 to 1097 matches the Rfam family "Archaeal large subunit ribosomal RNA", at positions 1423 to 2697 of the family's 2987-position model. The record is from RNAcentral. Lineage: Eukaryota; Metazoa; Annelida; Myzostomida; Endomyzostomatidae.